CCUGUGACAUAUGGAAGUUCCCAGGCCAGGGAUCGAAUCCUAGCUGCAGCUACAGUAACUCACUGUGCUGAGCCAGGGAUUGAACCAGCACUGCUGCAGAGACACCACCAGAUCCUUAACCGAGUGCACCACAGUGGGAACUCCAAUCAAAUAUUUAAAUAGGAAAUGAUUAAUACUUUCUUAUUACAAUUUAUAUAUAUAAAUAUAUACAUAUGCUUAGCCUCCAAAUCAGCAUCUGAUAAGAGGGGGAAUACCUGAAGUCAAGUUUAAGGCAUGGACUCCCAUUAUUUCUACCACUUAUUAUGAUUGGAGGUAUUAGCAAACAUAAUUAGUAAAAAAAAAAGAAUUGGAAAGGAAAAGAUAAAAUUAUCUCUAUUUGCUGAAGACAUGAUAGAAUACCUAGAAAACUAGAAUAUAAAAACAUAUAAAAAUCAACACAAAAGAAAAGAAACCAAGAUUAAAUGCUUGAGUAUAAACUUAGAAAUUUGCAACACUUACAUGAAUGAAAGUUUAAAACUAACUCCUGAUGGACUGAGAAAUUCAAGAGUAAAUUUGACUAAGCGGAAUGAUGUCUCUCGUUCUUGGUCAAUUCAUCAUCAUAAAAAUAUUAGCUCUCUCCAAGUUAAUAUGUACGUUUAACCUGAAACCAAUAAAAGUUUGGAUUGAAAUAGGGUCUACUCCAGGUAACUGACUGAUAUCUUUUAAGUCUCUUCCUAUUUACAGCGCUUCUUAGUCUCUCACCCUUUCCCUUUUCCUCACACUAAGACCACCAUCCCCAGGUAAUCUCUCUAGCAAGACAGACCUCAUUAUGCGAUGGCUGUUUUCUGAGAACAAGGAGGAGGCAGCAAGAUCUUUAAGAUGCAGCCUUGCAAGCUGCGUGUCACUUCUGACACAUAUUAUUAAUCAUAGUCAGUCACUGGGCCAGCCCAGAUUCAAGGAAAAGGGAAAUAGACUCUUAUCUCAAUUUGAAAAACUGGCAAAGUAACAUUGUAAAAAAUAAAAAAGCAUGUGGGAUGGGAACUACUGUUACAGCCAUCUUUGCAAACACAAUCUACCAUAAAAUGCAAAUGAAAACUACAAAAAAACUUUCGCAUCCAUCAAAUUGCAAAAAUCUAAAAGUUGACAGUGGCAGGCUCGAAAGAAAUAGGCAAUCUCAUGCACUGCAGGUGGAAGUAGAGUGUGGUAAAGGCGCUAUGCAAGGGAAUCUGACAAUAAUUACCCUUUGACAGCAAUCAAUCAUAAUCCUACUUCUACCUACUUGAAUAGAAUAUGUACAUAUGCUGGUUGCGUUAACUUCACUUUUCUUUUCCUUGACCCAUAAGAGUAAGCAGUACAGAAGCUAUGAUUUUCAUUCUUUUAAAAUAACUAAAAGCAUCAUCAACUGAUAUGCUGAGCACCAUUGCUGGUCUUAUAUUCUGAUAAACAGAGGAACUCACGGUAUAUCUGAUAAGGUCUGAUUCUGCAAGUAACUUAAUAUUCUGCAUAUUUAUGUAAAGAUGAACUUUAGCUUCCAAGUUAUUCUUAAAUUAAUAUGUAAUGAAAUCAUUUGUCUGGGUAUUUCCUAUGCAUUCCCGUUAAUCUCCUAAUGACUUUAUAUUAGGCAUUGCACCUCACACUCCAAAAUUAGUAACAGACUUAUCAGAACUAUUUUCACAUAUACAUAUACUCCAUGUACACCUGAACAUAAGCAGGUUUAUUUCUAACUAUCCCUCAGAAGUCUUCUUUGUUGAGGCCUCACAAAAUCUCUUUACAAGGAGUACUCUCAAUUAUUUAUUUGAAUUUCAGGUAAUAGUUGGGAAAUCACAUUAGACUGAAGCCACUUCUAUCAAUGUUACUUUCAGAAAGCUAAAAAUAAAUAAAUAAAUAAAUAAGCCACCAGGUGAAGUAUUUAAAAACAAGACAUCUUAGUUCCCAUUGUGGCUGAAUGGGUUAAGAACCCAAAUAGUAUCCAUGAGGAUGGGGGUUUGAUCCCUGGCCUUGCUCAGUGGGUUAAGGAUCCGGUGUUACUGUGAGCUGCAGCACAGGCCACAGAUGACGCUGGGAUCUGGUGUUGCUGUGGCUGUGGCAUAUGCCUUAGCUGCAGCUCCGAUUCAACCCCAGCCUGGGAACUUACAUAUGCCACAGGUGUGGCCCUGAAAAGAAAAAUAAUAAUAAAAAAAAGAGAUAAAGAAAUAUAACAAUGACUUAGUUAUUAUUCUUAGAGACAUGAUCUCAAAAACAAGCAUAGUAUGCAUUACAACAAGCAUUUUAAAGAUCACUUUUGGCACAACACGGUAAAUCAAUUAUACUCUAAUUUUUAAAAAGUAAAAAAAUAAAGAUCACUUUUAAGAACAAUAGAAGUGGUUAUACAAUGCAGAAAUUAAUUACCUACAGGAUGCAUGAAAACCAUUUCUAAUUUGAUAUUUAUACAAUGAAUAAUCUGAAGCAUGAAAUUUCUUUUAUCAUACCUGUGUAAAACAUUCCUAUCUUUCAAAACAAAUUAUUUUUCCUAUUAUAGUUGCUUUAUAAUGUUCUGCCAAUUUCUGCUGUACCGUCACACACACACGCACACAUUCUUUUUCUCUCAUUAUCCUCCAUCAUGUUCCAUCACAAGUGA
Molecule: long non-coding RNA, 2596 nt
Filed under: Sus scrofa (pig)
Lineage: Eukaryota; Metazoa; Chordata; Mammalia; Artiodactyla; Suidae
Description: lncRNA (ENSSSCG00055009854.1)
Source: RNAcentral